RNAcentral lists this transfer-messenger RNA (342 nucleotides) under Proteobacteria bacterium SG_bin6. It matches the Rfam family "Alphaproteobacteria transfer-messenger RNA". Rfam says of the family: Bacterial tmRNA, also known as 10Sa RNA or SsrA, is named for its dual tRNA and mRNA-like properties. Its role is to liberate the mRNA from a stalled ribosome. Lineage: Bacteria; Pseudomonadati; Pseudomonadota. The record is from RNAcentral.
AGCCUUUUCUUUAACCGCCAACGCCUUAUAUCAAGGGCUGCCGGCUCGUCCGGCUAUGGCGAUAAACUGCGGCGUGAAAUAGACGCAGCGGACCCGGGGGCAGUACCCGGCGGCUCCACCAAAACCGCUCGGCAGCGAGCGGGUUUGACGGGGCCGAACCAGGAUCGACGUGUGUUGAAAGGCGCUGUUUUCGCUCGGAAUGGGACCACCGCAACGGCCCAUCACACAAGUGCCAACGAUAACGAGGCGCUCGCGAUUGCGGCCUAACCCAAGACUUCACGGUCUAGGUUAGAUUGACAAAAGCGCGGUUGGGGCCGCACCGGGCAACAGAAGCGGAUUCCG